AUCAGAGGACCCUGGCUCUGCCAUAUUCUUCCUUUGUGACCUCAAACAAACAACUCUCCUGAGCCUCAGCUCCCUUGGGUGUAGGGCAGAAGGGUUGGAUCUUUGGGUCUUGGGGGCCCUCUAUGUCUGGACUAACCCAGACCUGAACAACAAUGGCCUCUGCAACAUCUCUGAGAAAUCUCCCUUCUGGCUUCUGCUGGAGCAUAUCCCGGGAUGAACAAUUCGCUGUCCAUUCUGCUUCCACACAAAUAAAUUCUUGGGAAGUAAUUCUUCAGCUUCCACCCAACAUGCUCCAGGUGAUACAGAUGAUGAGCAAGAUGGGCAAUGGCUAUGACUCUGGAGGUUUGGGAAGUUCUGGAACAUGAACAUGCAGCGUCCCAAGAGUUCCUGAACUCGAGAGUAGCUGCCAGAAGCCAGAUGGCAAGAAGCACUGCCCAGCCCAGCAGUAAGAGAAUUGUAGAUCCAUCCAAACAUCUCAUCAACACUACAUUUGGAAGCAACUCCGUGGGGCAAAGGCUAGAAAGGGAGAAACUCUGUUCAGUCUGAGCUCCCUCUACCCAAGAAAGGGAAGUGCAUGUACCCUUAGGCGUCAAAAGGAAAAUGUCAAGUAAAUGAAGCUGAGAAGAGUUAAGUGACUUGACCAAGGCCCAUGACUGUGCAGGAUUCAGAUGGGGCAGUCCCGAGUCCAAGAGCCCUCCGACUAUCCCACCUCCUGCUCGAGACAUGGAGCAUCCAUCCCUCAUGGUUUUCAAGCAGAAGCCAGAUGACCACGUGCUUUAAUGGAGGAUAGCCAUGAAUCAGAGGAGGAACUGGGGAACAACAAGCUUUCUACCUGUAAUAAUCUGAACCUCAAAAAGGCUCAAGACCCAUCUGGAAUCAAUUCCAUGUGGUGGGAUUUAGAAGGCUUUUGGGGAGUCCAGAUCUGCGUCUCGGGGAGUUCUUUAAAACACUGACACAUAGUGGUGUGCUACUAAAUGUAUAGCAACAAAAGUACAUAUGUGUGUAUACACAUUAGCUAUAUGUGUAUACAUACAUGUGAACUAUACAUAGACACAUGUGUAUGCGUACACAAAUGGAUAUUUUACAUAUAUGAUAUGUAUAGAUACACUUGUGUAUAUAUGGACAAUACUCUUAAGCUUAAUAUGUAAUAUUCACAUCUUCACCAUCAUUUUAUGUCAAAACAAUCAACAAAAUGACCAAAUGAACUCUGAUUUGGGAGCGUUUGCCAGUUUCCAAGCUGUAGGUGUUUACACUGGAAAUUAAAUAAUCAGUUGAGCCCCCUAAACUGACUUCAGCUGUAUAGGAAGCCAGCAGCUGGAAGUAAGGAGGGGGACUAAUGGAACAUCAGUGAAGAGGCAGCUAGUCAGGAGACUGCCCAGUGGAAGGACCAGCAAGGGGCCAACAUGGCUGAAUGCCAGUCACUGGAGUCCCCAAGACAGAACUAGAAAAGCAAGGAGGAGCCGAGGGGGAAGGAGCUUAAGGGCAAAGAAAGGAUUUCAUAAAUUUGAUCCCCGGGGUAGCAAGAGCCACUAACAUUUGUUAUGUAUGAUCUGGGAGCAGGGGAUAGGGAAGAGAUGAUCCUGUUUGUAUUUUAGGGAGAUCACUCUGUGAGAGCAGUAGAAGGUUAGGCUUAAAUGAGAAGAGAUUUGAAGUAGUAAAACCAAGAAGAAAGUUACAGCAGGGGUUCGGGGAGAAGGUGAUGAGAGCCUGAACCGGGGGGCGGUGAUGUAAGAGGGGACAUGGA
Long non-coding RNA from Sarcophilus harrisii (Tasmanian devil), 1744 nucleotides. RefSeq lists it as uncharacterized. The record is from RefSeq and is a predicted model, not a curated record. The transcript has 4 exons. NCBI's taxonomy places the organism in Eukaryota, Metazoa, Chordata, Mammalia, Dasyuromorphia, Dasyuridae.